CGUAGGAGGCAAGCGUUAUCCGGAUUCACUGGGCGUAAAGCGCGUGCAGGCGGUGCGGUAAGUUGGGCGUGAAAUCUCCCGGCUCAACUGGGAGAGGUCGUUCAAUACUACCGUACUUGAGAGCAGAAGAGGAAAAUGGAAUUCCCGGUGUAGUGGUGAAAUGCGUAGAUAUCGGGAGGAACACCAGUGGCGAAGGCGAUUUUCUGGUCUGCUUCUGACGCUCAGACGCGACAGCUAGGGUAGUAAACGGGAUUAGAGACCCCGGUAAUCCUAGCCGUAAACGAUGUGAACUUGGCGUUGGUGGGUUAAACUCCAUCAGUGCCGCAGCAAACGCGAUAAGUUCACCGCCUGGGGACUACGGCCGCAAGGUUA
This 372-nucleotide ribosomal RNA is filed under the name uncultured organism. RNAcentral describes it as "bacterial SSU rRNA". It matches the Rfam family "Bacterial small subunit ribosomal RNA", at positions 526 to 896 of the family's 1533-position model. The record is from RNAcentral.